UUCUAUGGGUAGCCUAGUGGACAUGGCAUCUGCCCGGUAAGCGGGACACUGUUAGUUCGAUUACCAUCCCUGGACA
RNAcentral lists this transfer RNA (76 nucleotides) under Cordylochernes scorpioides. RNAcentral's name for it is "tRNA-Thr". Lineage: Eukaryota; Metazoa; Arthropoda; Arachnida; Pseudoscorpiones; Chernetidae. The record is from RNAcentral.